CGCGUAGGCGGCUUGGUAGGUCAAAGGUGAAAUCCCUCGGCUCAACUGAGGAACUGCCUUUGAAACCACCUCGCUAGAGACCGGGAGGGGGCGGCGGAAUUCCUGGUGUAGCGGUGAAAUGCGUAGAUAUCAGGAGGAACACCGGUGGCGAAGGCGGCCGCCUGGACCGGUUCUGACGCUGAGGCGCGAAAGCGUGGGGAGCAAACAGGAUUAGAUACCCUGGUAGUCCACGCCGUAAACGAUGGGCACUCGGUGCCGCGGGUGUUGACCCCUGCGGUGCCUUAGCUAACGCGUUAAGUGCCCCGCCUGGGGAGUACGGUCGCAAGGCUGAA
RNAcentral lists this ribosomal RNA (332 nucleotides) under uncultured Acidobacteriota bacterium. RNAcentral describes it as "bacterial SSU rRNA". It matches the Rfam family "Bacterial small subunit ribosomal RNA", at positions 568 to 898 of the family's 1533-position model. Lineage: Bacteria; Pseudomonadati; Acidobacteriota. The record is from RNAcentral.